GCGAGGUGGUGCUAAUCCUAGAAAAUUCUUCGUAGUCCGGAUUGGAGUCUGCAACUCGACUCCAUGAAGUCGGAAUCGCUAGUAAUCGCGAAUCAGCAUGUCGCGGUGAAUACGUUCUCGGGUCUUGUACACACCGCCCGUCACACCAUGGAAGCGGAUUGCACCAGAAGUAGAUAGUCUAACCUUCGGGAGGGCGUUUACCACGGUGUGCUUCAUGACUGGGGUGAAGCCGUAACAAGGUAGCCGUAGGGGAACCUGUGGCUGGAUCACCUCCUU
Molecule: ribosomal RNA, 276 nt
Filed under: uncultured SAR86 cluster bacterium
Lineage: Bacteria; Pseudomonadati; Pseudomonadota; Gammaproteobacteria
Description: partial 16S ribosomal RNA
Rfam family: Bacterial small subunit ribosomal RNA
Source: RNAcentral